CGGUUUCGAUACGCCUAAUAACACUGUUGCCUUCCCGGGUUCAGGACUUGCUUUCACUGAUUUCUUGGAACCAAACCUUGCAGAAACCUGUGGUUUCUUUUUCUCUUCUUUCUCAAACAAGAAGUCCAUUGGAUUACUCCUAUGUGGAGGCUGCACCGAUUUGUAAGACACCGCAGCCUCAUCACCAGCUUCCGUCACUGUUAUCUCUUUUUCUACAACCCUACCCUCCUCACUACUGUACACAGCAUUCACAGUGCG
RNAcentral lists this unclassified non-coding RNA (258 nucleotides) under Hevea brasiliensis (rubber tree). Lineage: Eukaryota; Viridiplantae; Streptophyta; Magnoliopsida; Malpighiales; Euphorbiaceae. The record is from RNAcentral.